UGAGCAAUCUGCCCUUCUCAUCGGAAUAAGCGUUGGAAACGACGUCUAAUGCCGAAUACGACCUCCUUUCGCAUGAUCGGAGGUGGAAAGCUCCGGCGGAGAAGGAUGAGCUCGCGGCCUAUCAGCUAGUUGGUGUGGUAAUGGCCCACAAGGCGACGACGGGUAGCCGGCCUGAGAGGGUGACCGGCCACACUGGGACUGAGACACGGCCCAGACCUCCGUACGGGAGCAG
This 232-nucleotide ribosomal RNA is filed under the name uncultured bacterium. RNAcentral describes it as "partial 16S ribosomal RNA". It matches the Rfam family "Bacterial small subunit ribosomal RNA", at positions 118 to 347 of the family's 1533-position model. The record is from RNAcentral.